AGCAGCCGCGGUAAUUCCAGCUCCAAUAGCGUAUAUUAAAGUUGUUGCAGUUAAAAAGCUCGUAGUUGAAUUUCGGGAUCAGUAGGUUGGUCGUGCCACCGGUACGUACUGGUCUCACUGAUUCCUCCUUCCUGGAGAACCGUAAUGCCAUUAAUUUGGUGUUGCGGGGAAACAGGACUGUUACUUUGAAAAAAUUAGAGUGUUUAAAGCAGGCUAACGCUUGAAUACAUUAGCAUGGAAUAAUGAAAUAGGACGAUCGAUCCUAUUUUGUUGGUUUCUAGGAUUGACGUAAUGAUUAAUAGGGAUAGUUGGGGGCGUUAGUAUUCAAUUGUCAGAGGUGAAAUUCUUGGAUUUAUUGAAGACUAACUACUGCGAAAGCAUUUGCCAAGGAUGUUUUCAUUAAUCAAGAACGAAAGUUAGGGGAUCGAAGACGAUCAGAUACCGUCGUAGUCUUAACCAUAAACUAUAGCCGACUAGGGAUCGGAUGAUGUUAAUUUUAUAAUGACUCAUUCGGCGCCUU
RNAcentral lists this ribosomal RNA (520 nucleotides) under uncultured Glomus. RNAcentral describes it as "SSU rRNA". It matches the Rfam family "Eukaryotic small subunit ribosomal RNA", at positions 569 to 1089 of the family's 1831-position model. Lineage: Eukaryota; Fungi; Glomeromycota; Glomeromycetes; Glomerales; Glomeraceae. The record is from RNAcentral.